Long non-coding RNA from Armigeres subalbatus, 1234 nucleotides. RefSeq lists it as uncharacterized. The record is from RefSeq and is a predicted model, not a curated record. Lineage: Eukaryota; Metazoa; Arthropoda; Insecta; Diptera; Culicidae. The transcript has 5 exons.
UAGAUCAAUUUACCUAUUUAUGAGUAGUUGAUUUACCCAUAUUUGAGUAUUGAAAACUUUACUUAUAUUAUGAGUGAAAUAUACUGAGAAAAUCGGUAAAUUUCACCUAUAUUAUUGGUGAAGUGAGUUUACCAAUUUAUGGGUAAGUUAAUUUACUCAUAUUUGGUUGAAAAAUAGGACUUUGUUGUUCUUAUUUCAAGCUCUGAACAUAAUCAUAAAACCGGUCCGGCAGUUCAUGAAGGAAUAAAGAUAUCGAAUUUGCUAUACGCAACGUACGAACCCCAAGCCAGCAGCUGCCAGCAGUUCUUUUAAGCCUCUAACGAUCCUUAUGGAGCCCUCGGAUCCGUGACCCAAUAGAAUGUACCGAAUCAGCAGUCAUCCUCUUCAACAACAACAGUCAAUUACGUUAAAUCAAUCAAUUACUCUGAUCCCUUUUGUCUGCUACCUUCCGGGUCGGAACACGGCUAUGCCCUUUCGCGUAAAAUGUCAAAUAACGAGACAGGUGUCCCUUCAUCGAACCAACAGUGAAAAUACUGUCAUUCUCUUUUAUCGCCGGGAGGCUUGAUUAGUAAUGCACCCGGACGACCUGGAUACGAGACAAGAUACUUUAGGAAUAUGGAACGAUUUCUUCGUUUUUUCCCACCGAGGAAACAAUAUACCAGUAUGAUUACCCCAUCCACCCCAACGAAAUCAGCUUUAAUGAAGAGCGCACAUCUGAUGUGGAAAUCAACUAUACCCGCCGAAUCAGCGACCAUGACACGUACCUCGUCAACAUGAACCGGAUUCGCCAUGGACCAUCACCCACAUUCUGCUGCAAUCUCCAAAACGAGAAAACACUGUUUGGGUUUCAUAACAGGAAAGUGCCACAAUAUGCCACUAGCGGGGGAAUGUACCAAUAUCGUAAAUAUACUGCAUUACACCAACGGAGCCGGGAGUGUCAGACCUGUGAUGAAUCCGGUGACUGCAUACAUUUUUAUAAGGUUCAGCAGUUGCUCAGCUUAUUCCACGCAUAUCGGAAACACCCAAUGAAUGACACGAUGUGGAGUCACGAUUGUAUAUUAGAUAUAUAUUAGAUUAAUUGUAUCUAUCUACAUAUUGGAAUAAUUUAAUAAAUUUAAAUGACCUUGUCUUUUUUUAUUUGAUUUACUUUUAAUUUAAUUACAUUUUUGAAUCCAAUAUUUGAUUCCUAUUCCAUGGAUGUAUGCAUACAAAAGAAUAAAAAAGUACCCAAAUA